GCUCAGGUGGUGAAAUUGGUAGACACGCUGUCUUCAGGCGGCAGUACCGCAAGGUAUAGGGGUUCGAAUCCCCUCCUGAGCACCA
This 85-nucleotide transfer RNA is filed under the name Puniceicoccales bacterium. Its description in RNAcentral is "tRNA-Leu". It matches the Rfam family "tRNA". From Rfam's summary of the family: Transfer RNA (tRNA) molecules are approximately 80 nucleotides in length. Lineage: Bacteria; Pseudomonadati; Verrucomicrobiota; Opitutia; Puniceicoccales. The record is from RNAcentral.